UACGUAGGUGGCGAGCGUUGUCCGGAUUUACUGGGCGUAAAGGGUGCGUAGGCGGUCUUUCAAGCCAGAAGUGAAAGGCUACGGCUCAACCGUAGUAAGCUUUUGGAACUGUAAGACUUGAGUGCAGGAGAGGAGAGUGGAAUUCCUAGUGUAGCGGCGAAAUGCGUAGAUAUUAGGAGGAACACCAGUAGCGAAGGCGGCUCUCUGGACUGUAACUGACGCUGAGGCACGAAAGCGUGGGGAGCAAACAGGAUUAGAUACCCGCGUAGU
This 270-nucleotide ribosomal RNA is filed under the name uncultured prokaryote. RNAcentral's name for it is "partial 16S ribosomal RNA". It matches the Rfam family "Bacterial small subunit ribosomal RNA", at positions 524 to 794 of the family's 1533-position model. The record is from RNAcentral.